GGGGUGGAGAGAGAUGAGUCUCCCAAACCUGAAAGAUUAAGACUAAACUGUAGUUUGUUACUUUGGAAAUAAUCUUCUAUGGGAAGGGAAAAUCAGUAGAAGAAACAAACAUACUUUCAGUUUCACAGAUUGUUCCAGCUUUGACCAUCAGGAGCUCUUCCAGUUGGUUCUUCUGCUCCUGUGACAUAUGACACAUUCCCACCAAUUGAAGCUGGCUUUGCUCAUGCAGAGGAACGGGGUACCUGGUCGUCCCUUCUCCCCAGCAAAAUGCUUAGAACCCAGGACACCACGAGGGUUUACUCUGGUUCUCCAUCUGCAGAAAAGAAAGUACAGACAUAAGAAUGAAGACGUAAAUAUGGUCAACAUAUGGCAAUUCCAUGAGAGAAGAGUUUUCUCGCAAGUCAUUGAAUAGCUGCUAGUAAAAAUGCAGGUCAUUCAUUGAGGCAUUUAAAAUAAAUUUCAAAUCACUCAGAAGUUAAAUUAGGUAAAUAAAGUUAAUGCGUGGAGGGCAGAUGGCUUUAUGAACUUUUAUUCUAAUGAAGAAAGAGAAUUCUAAGAAUGAAUGUAUAAAACAGAAAGGAAAAUAGAUGAGACAGUCCUGACUUUUACGUAGAAUAGGACAUUUGGUGAAUACCACAAGAAGUGCUGUUAUCUUUCUGUUCAGUAAACAGGCAUUUCAGGUGAACAAGGUGGUAAUGGAGGAAAUUCUGAGAAGAGUUUUCCCCAAAUUCAACUCUUUAGAUGCCUUGAGAGUUUGGGUGGUAUCGUCUGACCCAUCAUGGCCAUAAAUGUACUGUGAGGAUACAUGAUUCAGACACAAAGGUGUUCUUCGUGAAUGUCAGAGCGUUGGGAAAAUAAAAGAUCUGUAGCUUUUGUGA
Molecule: long non-coding RNA, 878 nt
Filed under: Callithrix jacchus (white-tufted-ear marmoset)
Lineage: Eukaryota; Metazoa; Chordata; Mammalia; Primates; Cebidae
Description: lncRNA (ENSCJAG00000078460.1)
Source: RNAcentral